This 65-nucleotide transfer RNA is filed under the name Austruca lactea. Its description in RNAcentral is "tRNA-His". Lineage: Eukaryota; Metazoa; Arthropoda; Malacostraca; Decapoda; Ocypodidae. The record is from RNAcentral.
ACUUAAAUAGUUUAAAAAAAAUAUAAAUUUGUGGCAUUUAAGAUGUAAUAUAAUUACUUUAAGUA